UCGGAGAGUUUGAUCCUGGCUCAGGAUGAACGCUGGCGGCGUGCCUAAUACAUGCAAGUCGAGCGAACUGAUUAGAAGCUUGCUUCUAUGACGUUAGCGGCGGACGGGUGAGUAACACGUGGGCAACCUGCCUGUAAGACUGGGAUAACUCCGGGAAACCGGAGCUAAUACCGGAUAAUAUUUUUUCUUGCAUAAGAGAAAAUUGAAAGAUGGUUUCGGCUAUCACUUACAGAUGGGCCCGCGGUGCAUUAGCUAGUUGGUGAGGUAACGGCUCACCAAGGCGACGAUGCAUAGCCGACCUGAGAGGGUGAUCGGCCACACUGGGACUGAGACACGGCCCAGACUCCUACGGGAGGCAGCAGUAGGGAAUCUUCCGCAAUGGACGAAAGUCUGACGGAGCAACGCCGCGUGAGUGAUGAAGGCUUUCGGGUCGUAAAACUCUGUUGUUAGGGAAGAACAAGUACAAGAGUAACUGCUUGUACCUUGACGGUACCUAACCAGAAAGCCACGGCUAACUACGUGCCAGCAGCC
RNAcentral lists this ribosomal RNA (531 nucleotides) under Priestia flexa. RNAcentral's name for it is "bacterial SSU rRNA". It matches the Rfam family "Bacterial small subunit ribosomal RNA", at positions 1 to 516 of the family's 1533-position model. The record is from RNAcentral. Lineage: Bacteria; Bacillati; Bacillota; Bacilli; Caryophanales; Bacillaceae.